UGCUAACAAUUUUUUACUUAUUUUCACCUUGGUUCCUUCCCACUCACUACAACAAAAACGGUCUAUAACGACACUUUUAAAUAUAGGUACAUGUAAAAAAAGUGCUGCUAGCUAAAAUUACCGACACUUUUAAAAAGUGUUGCUAUAUGUGGGGUCGCUAAGUAUAUAGUGACAGUUAAAGAGUGUCGUUAUAAGCUAAAAAAGUGCUGCUAAUUUACCAACACUUAUUUAAACAUUUAGCAACCGCCGAAACUCUAUCUCGUUGGCUGCGGUGGCGGAGGAGGAUGACAGUAAAGGCUCUUCGUCUAGAAUUUCAGUGGAUUGAGUGAAGAAAGAAGAAAAGAUGGUAAUUGAUUUUUCUUUUUUUUUUUCUUUUCUGUUUGUAAUCGGGCCAAAUGGACUGGGUGUGGUGGGUUGAGUAGAGUAAUCUUUUAUUUUUGGUUGGAUUGGGUUUUAUAUUUAGGCAUUAGUAGAUGUGUUUUUAAGUUUUAGCAUAAAUGAGACACUUACUCAAAAGUGUCCCAAACAUGUGUCCCUAUAACCUAAUUCUGUUGUAGUGACUUCUUCCAUAUGUGCGCCCAUCGUGUCAAGCUUAAUCUUAUUACUCUUAAUAUUUUUUUAUGCCACUACGAUCACCUCAUAUUGCACAUGAUGUCUACUGUCUCUUUUGGAGUAUUCAACAUCCUUUGCAUCAAAUCAGG
Molecule: long non-coding RNA, 701 nt
Filed under: Ananas comosus (pineapple)
Lineage: Eukaryota; Viridiplantae; Streptophyta; Magnoliopsida; Poales; Bromeliaceae
Description: long non-coding RNA (ACOM_LNC027135)
Source: RNAcentral